GUGCUACAAAGAAGUAGCCACCUAGCCAUCAGUGAAAAGUGAUAGCUCGGGUUCGUCGGACCGUGCGUCGUUGUGUGUGUGGGCUUUUUUUUCUAGUUCCCUCGCAUACGGCAUUCAGGAUGGCGGUGCUACAAAGAAGUAGUCACCUAGCCAUCAGUGAGUGAAAAGUGAUAGCUCGGGUUCGUCGGAUCGCGCGUCAUCGUGUGGUCGUGGUGGGCUUUUUUAUCUUGUGAGACUGUUCCUUGCUGCUUCUUUGUUAAUUUCUUUCUGGAUGUCUCUCUUUUCAUUAUUUUAUUUAUUCAUUAUGCACGCAGAAAAAUUGAUUGUUCGUUCAGCAAAAUGUUGGGUCAAACUUGACAAACCUGAUUGUCAUCUGAGGGCUAACAAACAUUUUUGUUGAAUUCAACCCAAAAUGUUUGUUGCAUCUACAAUUAUGAUUGUAGCUGUCAUUUUUGGACAUGAUUGUUAUCUUUACAAACAAAUUGUUCGAUCGACAAAUCUGUUUGUUAAUAUAACCAUCUUCUGACAAACAUGUUUGUUAUUUUGACAUUUGCAGCUUAGGUUUUUCUUUGCUUUUUUUUGUUUAUAAAAACGAAUAAAUCUAUAUUUUUUGCAUUUAUUUACCGAGCUUUUCAUCAUAUGCAUAACAUAAUCUCCUGAGACACGUUUAACAUUGAUUAAGAAUACGCAUAAAAAUUCGCCAGUUUCUUCCCCGUUGAAUAGACCAUUCCCGUCAAAAAUUUUUAUGUUCUCUACGGCUUUCUGACAAUUUAUUGAGUAAACUUUCCCAAAGAACCCAUAUGUUUUAAAGCUUCCAACUAUUGAAAAACAGCCAAAACAGUGCGAAGCUCCAUUUUACACCACUUUCCCUUUUUAAUUUAGAUAUGGUGAAAGUGCGGUUUAUCCCGUCCGCCCCCCUUUGACAUUUUGCAUUUGAGGUGAGUUUUCCAUCAGCUGAUGACUGUCAAUAGUGUCAAUUUUGUUUUGUUUGGGUGCAAGCGAUUCCGGCGAUUACGUGAGCACCUGAAGUGGCAGAAGUUUUUACAGGACGAUGGAUUCCUCCGGUACGUACACGGUCCAGUACCGCGAACGGAAUAAGAAUAUCCGUCGGCAAGAGGAAGAAGCUAAGGAAUCGAACAGGCAGCGGUAAUUGUAGGAGGAAUGUGAAUUGACGCAACUGCACGACUUCAUCCAUCGGCAGACCAACGAGGAAAAUGUUUGCCAAUAGUUGCGGGAAUGCAGCGAGAAUUUGAAUCAAACUGAGAGCCUACGUGGACAAAACAAUUUUCGCACAGACGGUAGAUCCCGAAAUCCAAGCAACAGCAACGGCUCGAUAAUUCGGAAUGCAUCUAAUAGGGUAAGGGAGGAAGAAAUGCAAUCUGCGGACGGAAUGUUGGGUCAGAUGAAGACAUAAUAUCAAAAAACACAUCAUAUGCGCGGAGCUCCGCCGGGAGUAACAAAAUCUUGUCCGAGAUCAGACGACGGCUUCAAAGGGAACGAUUUGUCGAGAUUCAUCAGAAAUCAGAACUCCAUAAGCAAACGUGGAAUAAUGUGAAUGACCUGCUGACAACACCGGUCAGAAACGGAGGAUACUUAGUACGGCAGCAGCAGCAGUAAUGACUUGCAUUUUUCGCCCAGUUCCGGAGGAUGGUUUUUGUAGAAUUGCGUCGGCUGGAACAACCGAGCCAGUAUUUGGAGCACAUGCAGGAUAUGCUCGCACAUCAGUGCAUUUUUCCAAUUCAGCGACGAAUACAUUGCCUUUCCUGGCGGAAGCUGCAGCUCAACCAAGUUGAGUUGAAAGCAUUCAGUCAUCUGCGUUUCUAUCCAAAUUUCCACCCACCCAUCGUGCUGAUUGCUCUCGCCAUAUGAACCACCCUGCUGGGACUACAUGUGAACCCUCAUGAUCAGCACAUGCACCCUGGAGAAUAUUUGGAACCGUUUGCAAGCUGCAAUGUAUCUAGCUGAUUAAUGAAUGGGUCCAAGAACGCCUGCAUUGGUACAUCGAGACGGCCUUGGCCGUUUCCGGCAACUGAAGAUGCGCAAGGGUCACCUGAAUCAUUAUCACCAUUAGGACAUACCAAACCAGUCUGUGCAGAUCAUUUGAUCCUUUUGGAAACAACACACGCAACGUGCAGCGACACGCAGAGCAUCGGUGAUUGAAAUUUCUUUAUAUUUCUUUUAUUUAGAAACUGGAACUGCUCCUUUUUGUUGAAUUUUGUUUUAUAUUCAAGAUUAUGUUCACUUUUAUCCAUCUUUAAAGCAGCGGCAACUACCUAUACCUAUGUAUUGCAACUAUGUACAAUAUUUUUUUACCUGCUUUAUUUGUUUAUUUGAAAUUAGUUUGUCGCUAUAAAAAAUCGGUUGAUUUCACCUAGAAUUUAAGUGUUUUUACAUUUUAUUUCUCUGCUUGGGAUUACUAACAGUACUGGGUAUUUGCUUGGCCUUGAACAAUAUCAAUUCAGUAGCUGUUUUAAUAUGAAUGACGAUAUUUGAAUACGUCAUGAAUAUCGGCACAAUUUUUAAUAAACUGAUGAUUUGAUACAUAUUAGUAUAAUCAAAUAUUAGAUUCACAAGUUCGCACAUUACAUCAUGGGUAUAUAGGUUCAUUUCCUAUUUGUUUUACAAACCCCAGAACCAUUAAUAUUGUGAUCACGCACUAAUUUCAACAAAAGACAUUGAAGCCCCUAGGUCUGGUGGCGAGACAAAUUUAGUAACACUAUCGGGUCAACUACCCGAUAGGCGCCGUCCACAAAUUACGUAAUGCUCUAGGGGAAGGGGGGAGUAUAGCCAAGCGUUACGGCCCAUACAAAAAUUGUCGGGGUUUCAUACAAAAAAGCGUUACGGAGGGGGGAGGAGGUUUCGAAAAAGUUCGAUUUUAGCGUUACGUAAUAUAUGGACGCUGCCAUAGUGUUACUAACUUCAGAGUCCAUUUUCUCAAUGCCUACUUUAUACAGAUGGGACUGACUUGCGAUUCAAGGCAGAUCAGCUGUCUUAAAAUAAGGUUUUGGGAAUCGAAAUAACAACGUAGUGGGUAUCUAGGGUAUUGUACCAUUUGGGCAGGUGUAUCUAUUUUGGGCACUUGCCGCUAUAACUAAGUCAAUUUCAUUUCAUUUCGAUUGAUUUGAAUUUUUGUACAGAGUUAGAUACUGUACGUGCCUAACUCUGUACAAAAUUUCAAAUCAAUCGGUUUGAAAUUGACUUAGUUAUAUUGACGUUAAAAUUGCACAUUGAUUGCGAAAAGCCUGAAGAUGCAGAAAAUAACGUAGAAUUUCAAUGGAAUCGUAAGGUAUACCUUAUUAUAAUAUUCAGUUUGAUUAAACUAAAGUAGACGCAUGUGAAUUUCUCGUAGUUAAAUUGUCUUUAUAGUAUUAUUAUAUAAUGUCAAAAAUUGCGUCGACUUCAACCGAUCAACCUAUAUUUGAUGAAUAAGUUAUUCCGUCUAAUGUAACACAAACUUGGUAUGCGUUGCUGUGCGGUAAUUUGGGGGUUCCAUAUUACCUCAUUAGCCAAAUUGCUCCGACUGUCCCUAUAUACAUAUUUAAAGCAAAACUACUACUAUUUUCAACUAGGCGAACUUAUGCUAUUUUCGGCUGUUUGUUCUGCUCCGUAAAAAGGUGCUUUCUAGAAUCUGUAACUUAAAGUUUACCUCAAAACCUUCCCUAAUAAACUGAGCUAUAGGCGAAGUUUUAGUCGAAUGUUGGCGUUCUAGUUUUUACUCUAGAAGAACUGUCAAACAACUUUCAAAUUAUAGCUAAGAACACGUGGGAAUUUCUGGAGGAAUUUCAAUAAGAUGUCCUUGUAAAAUUCCUGGCAUACAUUUUACUAGAUUUGCUGGCUAGUAUAACUGCAUUUCUUAGGGUCUGCUGACAUAUGGAUCAUAUCCCUUAAGGACGUGGUUGGCUUUAUGAAGCUCGGGGCAAAAUCGAUCACUUUUAAAAACUAUUUGUAUGAAAGCAUGUUGUUCGUUAUUUUAUGAGUUUUUUAUCGACUUUUAGCAAAGUAAACUAAUGUAUUGAUGAGUAGGGGAUGAAAAUAAACCAAUACGAUUUGUAUUUACAAAGUUAUAAUGAUCCAUCCUUAUUAUUCGACUGAACAUUUCGUUAGGAAGCCAUUUAUUGUGGGAUUGUGUUGCUCAUUGCAGGCUCUCUGUUUAUUUCAACUACUUCUAACAUAUGUACAAACAGACAAGAUGGUUCACCAAAAUCAAAUCUGGAGACCACAUUCUCGGUCUGCAACCUCCGCACGAACGGAUCCAGGACUUCGAGGUACUUCAACCUCAAUGGAAUCAAAACAAUCUGGAUGUUCUCCUGAUUCUCGAUGUGCAAAAUAAGAUGACUCUCGAUAAUUCCACCUCAAGGUUUCGGCCCUGGAACCGCCAACUUCACUUUGUUCGCUGGGAAGUUCUGCAAGGUAAGUAUUCGCCAAGAACAGCUGAGGAGAACAUCCGUUCACUUUGCCAAGAUCCGGUCCAAUGCUUCCGUUGUUCUUUCCCUGUAAUUUCCGCCGAAUCUCCAUCCGGAAUCCCCAUUAUAUUAAAAGAAAUAUUGCACUUUGCGCAGUUAAAAGUGCGACGAGGAAAUGCGGAAUCUCUAAUAAAAGUGCGAUUUGGUGUCAGAUCGUUUAGGUGUCUUCACCGCACUUAUUCAUUAGCUCAUGAUGAAUAAGUGCGGUGAAGACACCGGAACGAUUUGAUGCAAUAUCGCAUUUUUAUUUAACACUAUUUAGCUGGCAAACGUCGUACUGCCUGUCUACUGUGUUUUUUGACGUACAGCCCCAUAGGGACGUCCCGGCCCCAAAAAUACUCACAUACAAAAUGUCACACCGAUCGGUCCAGUAGUUUCCGAAUCCAACGGUCAGACAGACAGAAAUUCAUUUAGAUUCCGCCUCGGAUUCCGCACUCUGUCGCAGCAAUGCAAUAAACUAUACAAUCUGCUGGUUGAUUAGCGGCCGGGAGAGAACCCACGAAAAUCAUCUUUCCCAUCGGAUGUCACGGGUAAAUAUCAACGUUUGAUGGGAAUUUUGGCAAAGUAAACGGGUGUUCGGCGCUAAGCUCCAGCUGUUUCUGACGGAUGUCAACUCACCGGGUAGAACUUGCAGGCAAAAGAGGUGAAAUUUGCGAUCCCAGGACCGAAACCUUGAUGCGAAGACAUCUCCUUCACUUCCGGUACCACACUUGGAAUACACAGGGGAUCCGGAACGGCCUGCAGUUUCAAAUCAACCGGAAGUUGCUCGGAUACGUUAUCGUUUCGUUCUAUUCUAUCUUCGAUCAACUGCUCGCCCAAUUUUCUUCUUCGGAACCCGCGGAUCAACACUGGCACCAGCAGCUUGAACCAUGGCAGCAGCCACUGCGGCAGUUUCGGCUUUUUACUUCCCGUCUACAACCCGGGAGCUGAUAUCCGCUCCCGCAUGUAUGUGUUCAAGGCUGGACCUUCUAGCCCUGCGUGUAGCUGAUCCGGCUGAUGUCCGUGAUGCGCUUCUGUGCUUGUGACGACGACCGCUGGUUUAAUUCGCGCACAGCGCAAGUUAUAUUUUUUUUCCAUUUGGCAAAGAUCUUUAUCAAUCCAGUCAGUGGUUGAGAUGGUCGCGUUGACUAAUCCGUGGGAUCUCUUCGCCGCCGAUCUUUUGCUGACCCUUCUGGAUGUUCUGGAUGGAAUCGGAAUCGUUCGAAUCGUUUGAUUAGUUUGACGUUUCCGAGUGUAAACAAACAUGACAGCAUAGGGCUCCCAUAUGUUUCUCAUUUUCUGAGAGGUGAAAAAAAAGUUCACCAUGUACAGGGUUACCAAAAACUACUUCGCAUGGUGAUUUUAUUUGAAAAUGUGGUGAAAUUCACAGUUUUUGAAAAUUUGUAAGAAAAUCAGGAGUACAUAUAAAACAAAUCUGAAAACGGCAAUAGUCAUCAAAAGCAAUUGUCUUUCGAAGAAAAAUAAGAAACAUAGGGGUUAGGUCAGACGGGAAUGGUCUAUUACCGUCAACAGCUGCGUUGAAGGCGGCAUCCACACUAGGUUCUGUUGGGAAGACUGGAUGGAAUAUGAAUUCCUGACAGGAUUCGAAACUGAAAGCGGGAAAUAGAUAAUAUAGAUAUUAUAUUGAAAUGACGUAGCUACGGUAAUUACCAUGUGGAAUUAUGCUGAUUUUCAUCCUCUGAAAGUGGAACCGGGUUCAAUUUUAUUUUCGCCGUAAGUCCGUAAAGCAGUGCGCAACCAUUUUCUAUGAAAUAUAAAUUGUAUCAUAGAUUAAAUUUCUUUGAAACCAAGGUUUACUUCAGUAAGAUAUUCGCACAUAUUUCGUUUAUUUUCUUAAAUUUGGCAGUAAGUCACAAUUACAUUCGGACAUUGUUUCUUGUUUACUCCGGCAAAACAAUACACUGUUAAAUUAAAAAAAAAACCUUAACCAACAACAUGAUUAUUGAAUCGUCCAAUAUAUUUGUCAUUGCAACAAAAACUGAUUGUUGGUACGACAAAACCUGAUAAACGGUUCAACAAACCGAAGGGUUUGAAUUCAACAAUUCAUUUUGUUGAAUCGACUCAACCAAAUUUCUGUGCGUGUGUGUAUAUGUAUCUUUUGAACAUUUUGAUCAAAUUUGUAUAGUUCGUCACCAUGAGUGUCGACUUGUUUCUUGUUGUCAAUGUCGAAAGUUGCAUCUUUGCAUUUGUGUAUAUUUCUCAUAUGAGUCCGUCGUGGUUCGUCGUUGCAUCGCGUCGUCGUGCUGUGUGCGUGCUUUUUUUUUCUCUCUUAUUUACUGGCUCAGACCUUUUGAUCCAUAAAGCCAAUGCGUGCUUUUAGAGGAAAAAAAAUAGUUUUCGUGCGAGUCGGUUGUGUGAUGCCAGCAGCGGAUGACAUUUCAGUCCGUCUUGGUUCGUCGUUGCAUCGCGUCGUCGUCCUGUGUGCGUGCUUAUCUUCGUACGAGGCGGUUUAGUUUGUUUUUGCAGGCAAAGUGAAAGUGCCGCUUUUUUCAUUCGGAUCGGCCGCGUCGUCGUCGACAAUUUGAAUGUGCACAUCGUCGUACCCGUGUGUUGUUGUAGCGGUUCAGUGUGAUUUCGAGGCCAGUUAGUGGAAGAUGCUGCAGCAUUUAUGCACUGGACAUUUCGAAGGAUGUUUAUUGGUGAGCUCGUUCCAUUUUAUCAUAAUAAUUAAUGCUAAAGGAUGUAUAAAAUUCUGCUCUGGUUUUUGUGUAUUUAUCUAACAAAUAUUGAAAAGUUCGUCACGUCAUGUGUCGGCGCUAGUUCCAAAUGCACAUUUAGUAGAUAAUAAAUAUUUUUCUUUCAUUUUUUGCAUGUACACAAAAAUUUGAAUGGUUCGUCAUCUUCGGUGUCGACAUUUGUAAUAUUUUAGUCUAAAUGAAUAAAUGUUUUGACUCAAAUAAAGGUUGCAUGAAUUUCUGGAAAAAAGAGAGGGUCGGUAAAAGAUAGACGGUGAACCAUGCGGUAAGAUGUUUCUGAUUUAUUUAUAACGUGUUAUAUUGUUAAUACUUGUGAAUUGAUCGCGUUUAGCAUUGUCUCGCGCGGAAACGCAAACUAAAGAUGCGUCGGUGUUUAGCAUUGUAUUCUCCUUAGUUGCGAAUGAAUAACUUAUGUAAGGUGAGUUUUGAGGCACAAUAGAUCGCGUUCGUCGUCCACGGUUUAGAAGGGUAUUUCUUCUUGAGCGCAUUAUUAAUCGCGAAUCAAAACAUGACAUUCGUUUACCACGGUGAAAUCCUCAACAUAUCUCCAUUUCCCCUGUCCAAACUCCUAGUGAUUUCUCGUAGUAACGUAGAGAAUUCCUCGGUUAUUGGCCUAAGCGAGAAUCACGUCAUCACUUCCUUCCCUAUCCUCAAUUGACCUGCAUUCGGACGCGGCCGGCGCUGGUAUUGCUUAUUGAAAAGUAUUGGGAUUCCAGCAUUUACACAAUGAAGAGAAAGCUAGUCCCAAGCACCAUUUGUUUGUUCAUUAUGUAAAUGCAGUUGUCCUUGCAAUAACAGAGGAGCAACCGCGGGCGGUCAAUCAUGCUCAUGCUCAUGAAAUGAAAGCGUGGGUAUUAUGAUUUCUUGCCUAAUUUGAUGCUGUUUGAUCAAAACUUUAGAUAACUAUGUUGUUUAUGUUGAAAGAAAUGGAGAAAACAACAACACUGUUGUCCAAAGUUUUGCUCAAACAGCAUCAAAUUAGGCAAGGAAUCAUAAAUACCCACGCUUUUUGCACCAUUUGAUUGCAGAAGCGGAGAAUUGACCUUCUCACCAUACUAAAAUUCAGCUCAUCACUACAAAAUCUAGUACUUCACCGUGUAAUAAUUUCGUGUCAUCUUCAAAAAGCUUUUGCUGAAGAAGAAGAAAGCAGAGAUGCAUUUUGAACGCUCAUGAUCUGUGAGCGUGCCGGCAGAGGUAUAAUGUUUUGAGAAGAUCAUAUAUGCCUGGGGCCAUUAUAAGCCUGGGUCGAAUAAAGUGUAACGGUUGCUGAUCAUCAAUCGCAGUGUGCGCACAUGCUAAGAAGUGUACCGCAAAAAGGGGCCGGAUCACAACGUCCGAGGGCAUACUGUCCCGGUCGUUAAGUCGCGUUUUUUUUUGCGAAAUAACGUCCAAAAGUUUGGAUGCGUCAUAAUAUCCUAUGUACCUUUUUUCCUUGGACUUCGUGGUGUAUUUGUAUGCCCGGACGUUAUGCCCCGGAAAAUGCGCCAAAGAAUCCCUGGGACAUUAUGGCCUCGGGCGUUAUGAUACUGCGUCCCGCAAAAAUACAAGUAACGCUAAUGCCAACGCCAAUCGAACUACACAUAAUUCUCAAUACAUACUACGAAUGAAACUCAGGCAGUAUCGUGCAGUACUUUCUUUAUUCAACUGAUGCCUAUGUACAAUGAAACUACCGUGAUUCGGAAAAAAUCUAGAUAAUACUGGAAAAUAUUUAUUCAAAGUGGAGAUUCUGGAUUCGAAAUAAAACUUUUUACCAACUCAGAAGAAUACCAAAGACAUGCACACUACAAUUUAAAAGUCGCGAUAAAAUACUGAUCGAUCACGGUGUAUAGCUAUUAUAAAAAUGGGAUUGCAAAAGGAUAAAGAAAUUUAUUCCACAUCUUCAUCCGCAUCGAGGAUCUGCUGGAAGGAGAACGGUUGGAAGACA
Molecule: long non-coding RNA, 9083 nt
Organism: Aedes albopictus (Asian tiger mosquito)
Lineage: Eukaryota; Metazoa; Arthropoda; Insecta; Diptera; Culicidae
Exons: 2
Source: RefSeq, a predicted model, not a curated record